This 305-nucleotide ribosomal RNA is filed under the name uncultured bacterium. RNAcentral's name for it is "bacterial SSU rRNA". It matches the Rfam family "Bacterial small subunit ribosomal RNA", at positions 333 to 635 of the family's 1533-position model. The record is from RNAcentral.
GAGUUCCUACGGGAGGCAGCAGUGAGGAAUAUUGGUCAAUGGGCGCGAGCCUGAACCAGCCAAGUCGCGUGAGGGAUGACGGCCCUACGGAUUGUAAACCUCUUUUGCCGGGGAGCAAGCGUGCGUUCGUGAACGCGCGUCGAGAGUACCCGGAGAAAAAGCAUCGGCUAACUCCGCGCCAGCAGCCGCGGUAAUACGGAGGAUGCGAGCGUUAUCCGGAUUUAUUGGGUUUAAAGGGUGCGUAGGCGGGAUGCCAAGUCAGCGGUAAAAAUGCGGUGCUCAACGCCGUCUAGCCGUUGAAACUG